UUUCAAUUUUAUGUAAAAAAAAUAAUUUGUUAACAGAACAAAGCAAUAGGUUCAUCCCUUAGAACUCCAACAACCAGCUCCGUCCACUGGAUAUAAGCUUGUUAGAUUAAACUUAUCUCUUGGUUGUUUGUAGUACGUAUUAUGUGAUAGUUAAGAGCAGGUUGGAUACACUUUUUUUUUCAACAAAUUAAUCAGAUACUAUUAAUUUCAAAGACUUAGGAUUGUAAUACAAUUAUUAUAUUUUACUUAAAAAUUCAGUAACUUAAUGAUUGGAAAAAAAAAAUUAAUAUAUAAAGAGGUUUUAUUUUUAAAAUCCAAAAGUAAUAAGAUUGUACUAAUGUAGAAAAAAA
Non-coding RNA from Biomphalaria pfeifferi, 350 nucleotides. NCBI's taxonomy places the organism in Eukaryota, Metazoa, Mollusca, Gastropoda, Planorbidae. The record is from the annotation of a GenBank genome assembly.